RNAcentral lists this ribosomal RNA (874 nucleotides) under uncultured Alphaproteobacteria bacterium. RNAcentral's name for it is "bacterial SSU rRNA". It matches the Rfam family "Bacterial small subunit ribosomal RNA", at positions 55 to 979 of the family's 1533-position model. The record is from RNAcentral. Lineage: Bacteria; Pseudomonadati; Pseudomonadota; Alphaproteobacteria.
AUGCAAGUCGAACGCAGUAGCAAUACUGAGUGGCAAACGGGUGAGUAUAAUGUGGGAAUCUGCCUUUUGGUUUGGAAUAACACGGGGAAACUUGUGCCAAUACCGAAUAAGCCCUUACGGGGAAAGUUUUAACGCCGAAAGAUGAGCCCGCACUUGAUUAGCUAGUUGGUAAGGUAAAAGCUUACCAAGGCAAUGAUCAAUAGCUGUUCUUAGAGGAAGACCAGCCACAUUGGGACUGAGACACGGCCCAGACUCCUACGGGAGGCAGCAGUGGGGAAUCUUGCACAAUGGGGGAAACCCUGAUGCAGCGAUGCCGCGUGAGUGAAGAAGGCCUUUGGGUUGUAAAACUCUUUCGUCGGGGAAGAAAAUGACUGUACCCGAAUAAGAAGGUCCGGCUAACUUCGUGCCAGCAGCCGCGGUAAUACGAAGGGACCUAGCGUAGUUCGGAAUUACUGGGCUUAAAGAGCUCGUAGGUGGUUAAAAUAGUUGAUGGUGAAAUCCCAAGGCUUAACCUUGGAACUGCCAUCAAAACUUUUUAGCUAGAGUGUGAUAGAGGUAAGUGGAAUUUCUAGUGUAGAGGUGAAAUUCGUAGAUAUUAGAAAGAACACCAAAUGCGAAGGCAACUUACUGGAUCAUUACUAACACUGAGGAGCGAAAGCAUGGGUAGCGAAGAGGAUUAGAUACCCUCGUAGUCCAUGCCGUAAACGAUGUGUGCUAGACGUUGGAAAUAUAUUUUUCAGUGUCGCAGCGAAAGCGUUAAGCACACCGCCUGGGGAGUACGACCGCAAGGUUAAACUCAAAUGAAUUGACGGGGACCCGCACAGCAGUGGGAGCAUGUGGUUUAAUUCGAGAUACGCGCAGAACCUUACCAACC